UGUAUUUGUAGUAGAGAUGGGGUUUCACCGUAUUGGCCAGGAUUGUCUCAAUCUCCUGAUCUCGUGAUCCAUCAGCCUCUGCCUCCCAAAUUGCUGGGAUUACAGGUGUGAGCCACCACACCCAGCCUGUUCUAAUAUGUUAAAAGAAUUGCCCAUAGUAAAAUCUUUCCUUAAUAAAAAGUCCAUAUUUAUCAACCUGAGAAAAAUGCAAUUGAAAAAUGGACAAGGAGCAAGAACAAAAACUUAACUAGAAGUUGGCAAUUUAGCACGUAAUAAGAAUUUUUUGUAUCAUUAGCAACUAGGGAAAUCCAAAUAAAAACUACAUUGAGAUACCCCUACACUGAAACAGACCCAAUUGCCCUAUAGAACUGAUGUUUAUGGUUUCUUUGAAUAAACACAGUAACUGAUCCUUUUAGUCUUAAAACUUGAGACAGUUACAUUUGUCUUAUCUGAGUUCCUUUCUCAGGAAAGCAACCAUCAGGCCUCCCAGAUAGUAUUAACCAGUUGAAACUCACAGGAUCACUGAAUUUGGACAAUGAAAGUCAGACCCCUCACCCAUCAUGAUUGCCUAACCCACCACCUGCUUCCUGUUGACCAAACCCUCUUCCUUACCCCUAACCAAUUCAUGUUUUUCCACAUAUGGUUACAUUUCCUCCCAGCAAUAGAAGCCGCUCAUUUUAGCCUGUCAGGGAGAUGGAUUUGAGACUGAUCUCCCAUCUCCCAUCUCCCAUCUCCUCAGCAGUAACACCCAAUUAAAGCCUUCUUCGUUGGCAACACUUGUUGUUGUCAUGAUUGGCUUUCUGAGCCACAAACAGCAGCACCUAGACCAAACCCCUGGUGUUUCAGCAACACCACCAUUGAUUAGAAUGUCUAACGGUUUUUUUAAAUGCUAAAAAUACCAAAUAAAGAACGUGGGCCAACUGAACUCUCAUGCGUUCACAAGGGGAACACAUAAUAGUACAGUCACUCUUAAAAAUGGUUUGCUAGUUCCUUGUAAAAUUAAAUAUACAUAUUUACCGUGACUCAGCAGUCCCACUCCUGGGUAUCUACCUUAAAGAAAUAAAAAUUUAUUUUCACACAAAAACCUGUAUGCAAAUGUUUAUAGCAGCUCUAUUCAGAAUUCCAAAACUUGGAAAAGGCUGGGCACAGUUGCUCAUUCCUGUCAUCCCAGCACUUUGGGAGGCCAAGGCAGGCGGAUCACUUGAGGUUAGGAGUUUGAAACCAGCCUGGCCAACAUGGUGAAACCCCUUCUCUACUAAAAAUACAAAAAUUAGCCAGGUGGGGUGGUGUGCACCUGUAAUCCCACCUACUCAGGAGGCUGAGGUGGGGGAGUCGCUUGAACCCCAGAGGUGGAGGUUGCAGUGAGCCGAGAUCAUGCCACUGCACUCCAGCCUGGGCAACAGAGUGAGACUCCAUCUCAAAAAUAAAUAAAUAGGCCGGGUGCAGUGGCUCAUGCCUGUAAUCUCAGUACUUUGGGAGGCUGAGGCAGGCAGAUCACCUGAGGUUGGGAGUUCGAGACCAGCCUGACCAACAUGGAGAAACCCCGUCUCUACCAAAAAUACAAAAUAGCCAGGCGUGGUGGCACAUGCCUGUAAUCCCAGUUACUAGGGAGGCUGAGGCAGGAGAAUCGCUUGAACCUGGGAGGCGGAGGUUGCGGUGAGCUGAGAUUACUCCAUUGCACUCCAGACUGGGCAACAAGAGCAAAACUCCAUCUCAAAAAAUAAAUAAAUAAAUAAACAAAUAAGUAUAAAAAAUAAUAAAACGGAAAAAAUACAAAUAUCCUUCAAUGGAUAAAUACUCUUCAGUAUAUCAUAACAUGGAAUACUAUCAGCAAUUAAAAUAAAACUGUUGUAGGCCAGGCGCAGUGGCUCAUGCCUGUAAUCCCAGCGCUUUGGGAGGCCGAGGUGGGUGGAUCACCUGAGGUCAGGAGUUGGAGAACAGCCUGACCAAUAUGGUGAAACCCUGUGUCUACUAGAAAUAUAAAAAUUACCUGGGUGUGGUGGGAUGCACCUGUAGUCCCAGCUACUCGGGAGGCUGAAACAGGAGAAUCAUUUGAACCUGGGAGGUGGAGGUUGCAGUGAGCCAAGAUCGAGCCACUGCACUCUAGCCUGGGCAACAGAGCAAGACUCCGUCUCAAAAAAAUAACAAUAAAAAAUAAAUAAAAUAAACUGUUUUCACACACAAUGAUAUGGAUACCAACUAAAUUGUGACCUUUUUUCCUUUCUUGUCCAAAUUUCUAACUAAGGGACAUAGGAAAUCAUGCCCUACAAACUAUAAAAAUCUCACCAGAAGGGUUUUAUUUAACCCUAUAUAACCGCUUAGUUUCCAACCUGACUCUGGCAUAACAUUGCAUGACAAAGAAGGAAAUCAAAAUAUUUUAUCCCCAAAUAUGCUUCUUUGCAGUAUAUAUUAUAUAUUUAUAUGAAAAUAUAGGGCCAGGCACAGUGGCUCAUGCCUAGAAUCUAGCACCUUUUAAAGGUUUAAAUAGGAAAUUUUUGCCAUCUAAAGACAGUCACUAUGAGACAUCCUAAGAAUCUUGGUCUCCACAACCCCUUAUCUUAACCCAGACACUCCUUUCUAUGAACCUGGUCUUCAGAUAGCCAAUUGCCAAUCAGAAAAUCGCUGAAUCCGCCUGUGACCUGUAAGCACCGCUUGGAGUUGUCCCGCCUUUCCUGACAGAACCAGUGUACACUUUACAUGUAUUGACUGAUGUCUUAAGUCUUCCCAAAACGUGUAAAAUCAAGCUGUAACCCAACCACCUUGGAUACAUGUUCUUAGGACCUCUUCAGACAGUACCUUGGCCUUCCUCACUCAUAUUUGGCUCAGAAUAAACUUCUAAAUAUUUUACAGUUUGACUCUUCGUAAACAUGGAUGAAUCACAAAAGCAUUACGCUUUUGAGGAGCCAGUCACAAAAGGUUAUAUCAUACUGUAUGAUUCCAUUUAUAUACCAUUUCUAAAAAGAGAAAACUAGGUUUCAAGAGCAGAUCAGUCCUUGCCAAGGAUCCAGGUGUCGGAGGGAGUGACCAUAAAGCAAAUGAAGCACAGAAGAGAAUGGCAGCACAAGGAGUUUCAGGGUGGGACAGGGCUCUUCCGUAUCCUGGUUACAGUGGUUACUACACGUAUACAUACAUAUGUGAAAAUUCAUAGAACUUUACACCCAAAGAAACGUUAGUUUUUUUGUUUGUUUGUUUUUGGUUUUUUUGAGAUGGAGUCUCCCUCU
RNAcentral lists this long non-coding RNA (3221 nucleotides) under Homo sapiens (human). RNAcentral's name for it is "HSALNT0130462". The record is from RNAcentral. Lineage: Eukaryota; Metazoa; Chordata; Mammalia; Primates; Hominidae.